GGGUUGGGAAGAAACUGUGGCACUUCGGUGCCAGCAACCC
Molecule: unclassified non-coding RNA, 40 nt
Filed under: unclassified sequences
Also listed under: 1 other name
Description: Aptamer that binds to ATP
Source: RNAcentral